UGCCCUGCUGGAAGCCCUCCUGGCACUGGUGCUGUCCUGGAGUAUGAGGUCCCCACGGCCAUUGGCUGCCUUGAGCUUCCUGCUCCUCUGUUUCCUGCCUUGUGAGGGCUGGUGAUGGCACUGUCCUUGGUGGAUGGGAUUGCUGUGCCAUCUAUGGCUGCAAAUAAUCCGUGCAACUUGUUCCCAUCCAGCACAAUUUCACACUGCACAAGUGAGACGGGGACUAUCGUAUUGUCAAGAACUCUCUGAGCUCUCCCUUCCCUGGGGCUAUUUGGACUUUCGCAGGUUUUUACAUUUGGUUUUGCAAUCAAGAGAAACUUAAUUAAAAAAAAAAAAAGAACGAAAUAAAGAAAGGGAGAAGAUGAAGAAAAAAAAUCA
RNAcentral lists this long non-coding RNA (378 nucleotides) under Numida meleagris (helmeted guineafowl). RNAcentral describes it as "lncRNA (ENSNMEG00000005638.1)". The record is from RNAcentral. Lineage: Eukaryota; Metazoa; Chordata; Aves; Galliformes; Numididae.